AAACUAACAAGGAUUCCCCUAGUAACUGCGAGUGAAGCGGGAAAAGCUCAAAUUUAAAAUCUGGCAGUCUUUUUGGCUGUCCGAGUUGUAAUCUAGAGAAGUGCUAUCCGUGCUGGACCAUGUAUAAGUCUCCUGGGAUGGAGCAUCACAGAGGGUGAGAAUCCCGUCUAUGACAUGGACUUCCCAGUGCAUUGUGAUGUGCUCUCAAAGAGUCGAGUUGUUUGGGAAUGCAGCUCUAAAUGGGUGGUAAAUUCCAUCUAAAGCUAAAUAUUGGCGAGAGACCGAUAGCGAACAAGUACCGUGAGGGAAAGAUGAAAAGAACUUUGGAAAGAGAGUUAAACAGUACGUGAAAUUGUUGAAAGGGAAACGCUUGAAGUCAGUCACAUUGGCUGGGGAUCAACUCUGCUCUUUUGCUGGGUGUACUUCCUAGUUAAUGGGUCAGCAUCAAUUUUGAUCACUGGAAAAAGGUAGAGGGAAUGUGGCAUCUUAGGAUGUGUUAUAGCCCUCUAUUGUAUACAGUGGUUGGGAUUGAGGAUAUCAGCACGCCGUAAGGCUGGGUCAUUGACCACACUCGUGCUUAGGAUGCUGGCAUAAUGGCUUUAAUCGAC
This 608-nucleotide ribosomal RNA is filed under the name Amanita nauseosa. RNAcentral's name for it is "LSU rRNA". It matches the Rfam family "Eukaryotic large subunit ribosomal RNA", at positions 62 to 648 of the family's 3401-position model. Lineage: Eukaryota; Fungi; Basidiomycota; Agaricomycetes; Agaricales; Amanitaceae. The record is from RNAcentral.